AAGCCACGGUUUUUGUGUCCGCGGCUGCACCCCUCUCGAAGCGUUUUCACGCACAUGUGAGAAACCUCACACCCUGGGGCCGAUUUCUUUAGUAGAUUGGCGCCCAAAUGGCAAAGAUUUCCAGGGAUUUGUUUGGGAUUCCAUAUUUUUGUAGAUUUGCCGAGAUUGGAUACUAGUACAAUAUUGAGAAUUCCCGUCCAGCAAUGUGGCUAUUUUUUUAAAUUAAUUCAGUUCUCCCUUUGUUUUUCAGGUAAAGCGUUGCAGUUCGCUUGGUGUUGUGCGCAUUUAACAUUUUUUCAUAGCUAUUUUUGUUAUUGUAGUUUGUUUUUACUAAUAGACUAUUAAUCCAUUAGUAUCCUUGUAUAAGAAUGGCUUUUGAUUGUUGAUCUAUCUGGACACUUCACUAAACGUUCGUAUUCUAAAAAUUUGACAGGCAGUCCUCUUUGAUUUGUAGGUAAGAAUUUAUCUGUAAAGAACAAUUUUGGCUUUUCCCAAGAAUCCAGUGCAACACUGAAUAGUAGCCGGAGGUACUUAUUUCUUACCAGGAGUUAUUUUGGAUUGCAUCUUAGGUUUCAUUCAAGAUAUCUUCUGCAGGUUUAUGGUGUGUGUGUGUGUGGGUGUAUAGGCAAAUUAUGUUCUUUUCGUAGUUUACCAUAUCGGUUUUUUUUUUAAUCAGCAAAUGACUAAGUUUUACCAAGUAUUUUCAGUAUCAGUCUUUGAGAUGAUUGUAUGGCCUUUUUUCCAUUACUCUACAAUAAAAUAACUACAAUAAUAGAUUUUCUAAUGGUGAGCCAAACUUAGAAUCCUGGUAUCUUAUUUUUUCAAUAUAUUGCUGGAUGCAAUUUGCUGUGUAGUUAAUUUUGGAUUUUCAUGUAUGCACCUAAGUUAGAUUGGCUUAUGGUUUUCUUUUGCUGUCCUUGUCUAGUUUUGGUAUCAGGUUGUGCUAGGAGUCAGACAGGUUAACUUAUUUUUGUAUGACCUGGAAUAGACAUAGCAUGUGUGAAUGAUACAUUUCUUAGGUUUUGAAGAACUCAUCUUUAAAGCCUUCUGGGUGUGGUGCCAUCUUAAUGGAUAGUUUUGUUUUUUAUAUAGCGUCCAUCGUUAUUGAUACCUAGAAUUUUUUCUUUUGCUUCUUGAGAAAAUUAGUUUUUUCUAGAAAAGUAUUGGCCGGGUGCGGUGACUCACGCCUGUGAUCCCAGCACAUUGGGAGGCCGAGGAGGGCGGAUCACGAGGUCAGGAGAUCGAGACCAUCCUGGCUAACACGGUGAAACUCCGUCUCUACUAAAAAUACGACAAUGAAAAAUUAGCCGGGCAUGGUGGCGGGCGCCUGUAGUCCCAGCUACUCAGGAGGCUGAAGCAGGAGAAUGGCUUGAACCCGGGAGGCGGAGCUUGCAGUGAGCUGAGAUUUUGCUACUGCACUCCAGCCUGGGGGACAGAGCGAGACUCCAUCUUUAAAAAAAAAGUAUUUCAGCUAUAUUUUCUAACAUUUAAAAAAAUCUCAUAUUGUUCUCAACCAUUCUUAUAUAUUCUUAUAUAUAUAUUCUUAUAUAUUGUAUUGGAGUCUUUUUCUUGAUCAUAUUUAUCAAACCAGCUUUUGGUUUUAUAGAUAAAAUCUGUCUUAAAAGUAAUUUCUCUUUCAUUAAUGUAUGCCUUCAUUAAUUUCUUCUUAUCUCUUUGGGUUUAUUUUGUUCUUUUUAUAGAAUCUUGGAAGCUUAACUUUCCUUUAAAAUGUUUAAUAUGAAAUAUUACCAGAAUGUACAGUUACAGAAAAUAAUAUAAUGAACACUUGUAUACCAACCAUCUAGCUUUAUCCCAUUUUAACAUUUUCUCUUAUUUGCUUCAGAUUUUAACAUUCAGUUAGAGCUCCUUGUGAAACUGCCUGCAAUCUCAUUCUCCCUCUCUUCCUCUCUGAAAUUAACUACUUCAUUGAAUUUGGUAUCUGUCAUUCCCAUGAAAGCUUUUAUGUAUGCUCCAAAUACAUGUAGCGAUGUUAAGUAGCAUAAAGUACUGUUUUAUGCUUUUUAAACCUAAUAUAAAUGAUAUGCAUGUCACUUACUUUUGCCACCUAUAAUUAUGUAUGUAAAAUUUAUCCAGGAUGAUUCCUGUAGUUCUAGUUUUAUUUUAACUGCUGAAUAGUAUUCCAUUGUAUAAUUGUACCACCAUUUAUCCAUUCUCCAGUUGCUAGCAAUUUCAUGAUUCCUGAUUUCUGUCAUUAUAACAUGAGUUAGUUCUUGCACACAGCUUCUUAGACAUAUGGUAAGAAUUUCCUUAGGAUAAUGUCUAGAAAUGGAAUUGCAAGGUGGAAGGGUUUGCACAGUUCAACUUUGAUAUUGCCAAAUUGUUCUCCAGUGGUUGUACUAACUUACCCUCCAUCAGCAAUGUAGGAGAGCUGCUGUUGCUCCAUUCCAUGCCAACACAGGUUAUUUUUUUGCCCCAGUUUUUUUGUUUUGUUGUUUGGUUUUUUUUUUGCUGUUACCAACUGCUGACAGUAAAUUUUCUUGUACAUGUUUCCUGGUACACGUGUGCAAGAGUUUCUCUGACUAUAAAGCUAAUGCAGUUAUUAACUCUAUUUUGUUUUCGGUAUGUUUUUUAAAAGCAUGUACAUGUCCCCCUCAUUUGAGAUUUCUCCCUGUUAAUACUAACACUUAACUUAUUCAUAGAUAUAUCUCACUCAUUUUUUUCUAUGUAUCAUGCUUCCUGUUCUCUUUACUGCCUUUGGUUUGACAGUCUUUUUUUCCAGUUUUUUUCCCGCUUUAGUGGUUUGAAAGUUAUAUUUGAUUUUUAUUCUAUGAAUAGUAGUUACUCUUCUAACUCAUUUAAAGGUGUAUCUUUAUAUAUAUGUGUGUGUGUGUGUUUAGAAUUCAUCAGUAUCCAUAUGAGGCAGUCUGUGUAGUGGUUAAGAGUGGAGCCUGUGAGGCCAGACUGCCUGGAUUCAGAUCCUAGCACUACCACUUAUUAGCUGAGUAACCUAGAGCUUAUUACAUAAACUCUCUGUGCCUCAGUUGUUUCAUCUGUAAAGUGGGGAUAAUACAGCAUAUACCUCAUGAGGUUGUUCUAAGAUUAAUAUGUUAAUAUAUGUAACAUUCUUAGGACAGUGCCUAAUGCUUGGAUCUCUUUACCAGAUUUUUCAUCUAUGGAAUGGGCAGAAGACUUGCCUAUCAGAGUUGUUACAAAAAUUCAGUGCAUUAGUGUAUUCAUUCAUUUUAAUACACUGAGCACCUGCUGUGCACUUUUGAAUUAGACAUGGUUCUCGGCUUCAGUGGUCUCAUAAGGGAACAGACAUGAAAUGCAAUUUCAAUACGAUUUAACCUUAAUACUCUUCCCAUGUUCUCUCUUGUCCCCCUUCUAAUCUGUGCUCCACAUUAAGAGGCAAAACAUUAAUCAGAUCAUGCAUCCUCUGCCCAUCAUAUGUUAACUUUCAUUAUACUUUACAUAAACCAUAAACUUCUCACCAUGGCCUGAGCCCUCAGGUUCUAAACCCUGUGCCUCCCUCUCUAACCUCAUCAACUAUCAUUCUCCUGAUUUCUACCAAAUUCCCACCACACUAUCCUCUUCUCAGUUCCUUGAGCCAACACUCUUCAGUGCCCUCUGCUCAGAUUACUGAUCCACCCUGACAGCUCUUCCCACGACUGACUCAUCUUUCAGAUCUCAGCUUGAUUAGGUCAGGCAGUUAGUUACAAGCAACGGAAUCCACUCUGGUUGAGAAAGAAAAGGACUUUUAAAAAAUCAUGUAGCUCACAGAAUCUCUAGGAGAGCCAGAGGCCAAAUAUGGAAACAACGGUACCCAAACACACUAGACGAUCUAGUGAGAAUCCAUUGCUGCUGCCACCAUUGACACCAAAACUGCAACUUCCACAAACACUGGCGGUCCCCACUGGUAGCCAGAGUUAGGCAUGUUUCCUUCUUCAUCUUGCUCACUUUUUUUUUUUUUUUUUUUUGGAGAUGGAGUCUCACUCUGUCACCCAGGCUGGAGUGCAGUGGCAUGAUCUCAGCUCACUGCAACCUCUGCCUCCCAGGUUCAAGCAAUUCUCCUGCCUCAGCCUCCCGAGUAGCUGGGACUACAGGUGCCCGCCACCACGCCCGGCUAAUUUUUGUAUUUUUAGUAGAGACGAGGUUUCACCUGUUGGCCAGGCUGGUCUCGAACUCCUGACCUUGUGAUCCACCCUCCUCAGCCUCCCAAAGUGCUGGGAUUACAGGCGCGAGCCACUGUGCCCAGCCUGUCUUGCUCACUUUCAAGUUGAAAUUUUGCAUUGGCUAUGCCUGCUUGGUGGGGCCUAGGUCACAUUGCUGUGCUACAAAGGGGGUCAAGGAGGCAAGUUUUCUCAUAGGAAAUGCCUCAGACUUUAUAAGCGUGUUGAAAAGUGCUGGGUAUUCAGAAAACAUGUCACAUGAACAUGAGAUAAUGUGUUACCUCAGCAUUAAGGCCUUCUCUGACAACCCCAGUACAUUUUCCCCACAGCAGCCCCAUCAGUCUUUUCCUGUACUCUGUCAUUUUCUUCAAGGCACUUGUCACAACUUGUAUUGUUAUGUACUUAAUUUGUUCAAAUGUCUUAUAAAUUCUGGGGCCAUAGAGUCUAUGCGUGGAGUUUCAAAUAAGUAUAUUUCAAACAGCCAAAAAUAAUUUUAAAAUGUAUUUUAGUCUUUAGCAUGGGCCUCUUGAAAGAAAAAAGAAUAAAAAAGGCUCCAAGUCACAGUUCCCAGCAGUUCCCGUAGUUUCUGUUUGUUGUUUUGUUUUGUUUUUUCUUAUUUCCAUGGCUGCUUUUGCAGUGUUUCCAUAGUUUCAAAUUCCCUCCUCUCUCUUCUUUAAUUCUCCCCAAUCCUUAUGUGGAUCUGUUUAGCUACUCUCCAUAAACCUUUCCCUUAGAGCUCACCUUUCAAAUGCUUUUCUGCCUGUUCUCUUAUUUUGCAUCACAAACAUCCAGAACAGGUCUGAGAGGUACACUUUCUUAGGACACUGGGGAGAGAAGUGGAGAGGCAAAGUCUUUAUCAGCCUGGAGGCUGGGGAAGAUUUACACACUGAUCAGUUUUCUGUACCACUUCUGAUUGACCUACAGAUUAGAAGUCUGAGGAGGACAGGGACAAUAUCUGUUCUAUUUGUAACUCCCACAAUCUGACAAAUAUGUAGUCAACAUUUGUUUUCUGGAAAAAGAAAAGUCGAGCAAUUGAGGUAUGGGAAAAGAAGUAUACAGCACAGAGCAAGGAUUCUUGACAUAGUGAAGGUGAAACCACCUUUGCAGAAAUUAUGACAGCCAAUUAUGACAGUGAAAGAGAUCUGACCUAGCCAACUCCAUCUCACUUCUAACCCCCAAGCUGUUCUUGUGCAUUCCUGAGUGUAGGCGGAACUAACUUUGGGAGGAACUUAGUUUUACUUUGAAACAAAGAUGACAACAGUCCUAUCUCAGAACAAACCCCCUUCCUGCCUGGGGACCAGACUUUGUAGGACUAACAAAUGAGCCACAACAUUAGAAAUUAUAGUUUAGGAGUCAUGCAGCUAGAGGCCACAAGAUUCUAAGCCUCCCCAAUUGCUCCUAGGGAUAACAUCACUAUUAUAAAACCUACGAUUGGUGCUCAAGGUAUUUUCAGACCCCUCCCUGGAUGGAUCAGCUGCUCCCACCCAGACUGAUGGUCUUGUGGCUUCCACUCAGGAACUGACUCAGCACAAGAGGACAGCUUUGACUCCCCAUUCCUGGGGGACCAGUCAGCACUCCCCACUACCUGCCCCCCAUCCAUGAGAUUAUCCUUAAAAACCCCAGUCUCCGAAUUUUCAGGGAGACUGAUCUGAGCAAUAAUAAAACGGCAGUCUCCUGUACAACCAGCUGUGUGAAUUAAACUCUUUCUCUGUUACAAUUCCUUUGUCUUGAUAAAUCGGCUCUAUUUGGGCAGUGGGCAAAAUGAACCUGAUGGGCAGUUACUAAGGGUGAAGUGUGGGAGUAGGGUUACAGAUUAAAGGAUAGUUUAGGAAGGCAUCCCAGAGGUGAGGCCAAAGCAGAAUCUUGAAGGGCAAGAAUUAUCCAGGCAAAGAAGGUAAGGAUAGAGAAGAGUAUUCAGGCCAGGCAUGGUGGCUCACGCCUGUAAUCAUAGCUCUUUGGGAGGCUGAGGUGGGCAGGUCACGAGCCUGGAAGUUUAAGACCAGCCUGGGCAACACGGUGAAACUCCAUCUCUACAGAAAAUACAAAAAAAUUAGCCGGGCAUGGUGUUGCAUGCCUGUAGUCCCAUCUACUUGGGAGGCAGAGGUGGAAGGAUCACCUGAACCCAGGGAGGUCAAGGCUGCAGUGAGCUGUAAUUGCGCCACUGGACUGCAGCCUGGGUGACAGAGUAAGACCCUAUCUCAAAAAAAAGAGUAUUCCAGAUAGACAUAUAGCACAAGCUCAGACAAAUAUCAGAUAGCUUGGGGUGGUGUUGCUAAAUGCAAAGUAGAAAUGUCAGGAGGUGAGGCCGGAAAGGUACAAGUGGCAUGGAGGGCCUUGUAUGGCACUCCAUGAGGCUGGGCUUUUUCCUAUGGGCUAUGAAGCCACAGUGUGGGUGGGGUGGGAGUCAUAUUCAGAUUUUCAUUUGAGACGGAUCAUCAGGUGACACUGUAGAGGUUGGAUUUCAAAGAGGCACAACUAAAAAUAGGAAGAAUAGUUGUAAGUUAAAAAAUAAUGUAGGCCUGAAACAGGACAGUAGUACUGAGGAGGGGUAAGUAGUAGGAAUACUUUUAAAGAAAUUAUUUGGAGAUCAAAUUGGCAGUGCAGGGUGGGUUACUGGAUAGGGAAGAUGAGGGAGGAAUCUAAAAUAGUGUCCAAACUUUUGGCUCGGACAAUGAUGUCAUUUAGGUAGAAAAAAUUGAGGAGUAAUAGGUUGGCAGUAGUGGGGAAGGUAGGAAGAUUUCCAGUUCCGUAUGGUGAAGUGGUUCUUAAAGUCCCUAUGGGAUUCCUGAAUUUAGAUGUUCAGCAGGUACUCAGAUCAGCUUAUGGCAAAGGCCAGGGUCAGAGAUACAGACUUGAGGAGAGAGCAGCAUGGGGGUGAGAGUGUGUUCAGAAGGGCUGUGGGAGUGCUCUGGGAGUGGCUGCUGUUCCGAGGCUGGCAUUUGGCCCUGUUGACAUUCUUUUCUCUUCCCACCUUCCUUGGUGUUUCUCUUACCUCUGAUCAUUCCUUCUCCAAAUGCUUUACAGGCUCGUCUUCCUCUUCCCAUAGAAUGUGUUAUUCCUGUGUGAUUUCACCACCUGGGACCCCUACUGUGCCUCCAUCAAACCUUUAUCUCCAGCUCAGAAUUCUUAUAUAAGAUUGAGACGUAUGUCUCCAACUGCUUUCUAAGAGAAAAGAGGUAGUCAGUAGCGUGGACUGAUUAUCCAGGGACCACACAAAGGGUUUGUACUUCACUGUCCUAUUGUAUUCAGGACUGGCACUGUGAAUUGAUCCUGGCUGUGACUAUCUCUUGUUUUCUCUGAAAAUACCAAAUGUGGAAAUCAGGAGUCAGAUUUCAGACUUGUUAAUAAGCAUUAUUAACACACACACCCCCACUAUAAUCCUUCUGUAACUUAUUAACUUCCCCUUUAUGCUUAGUGUAUUGUUAUCUUUUCAUCAGGAACCAAAAUUAACCCAAAAUGGAAAUAAAAAUUUAAAUCUUAUUGAUACAGAAGAAAAAUUACUGUCCUGUUCAUAAAAAAAGGAAAAAUAGUUUACAUGGAUCCACCUUGUUUAAAACAAAAAUCACAACUCGUUUUGUGAAAAAGAGGUGCUUUUUACUCUAGUAUUCCUUGUUCUGGGAUCACUUAAUCACUAUUUCGAUGAUGAAGGAACUCUGAACUCCUAAGCAAACCAUGCCAUGACAUACUUUAUAUAUAUGCACAAAAGUUGGAUAAAACACAAAACCAGCAUUUUGACAAAUUCACUUUAAAAUGUUUUCCACAUCAACUACUUAAAAGAAGUUACAGCAAUAUGAUCUUCCACUGCUCAGGAAGACAGAGUGAACUUGGAUAUGAUGAAUAUUAAAAACAAACAUACAGAGCACCUGGGUCUGGACUUGUGGGCUAAAGAAAUGCUUCCUGAAUUUGUCCGAGGUGAUGUGUUGAGCAACCGUGCCACAGUUCACCAGCAGUGACACUCUAGUUCUUCAGUAUAUUCCUGUUGUGAACCUAUUUCUUUGAAUUUAAUCAUCUGGGAUGAUUGCUGCAGUGUGAGUCUUUAGCAUUUUGAAAAUCCCACAGAAGAGAUUAAGAAGGUUCCUCUUCCCAGAAGACACUCAUAUAAAGCAUGCUUCUAUAGGGUUAACUGUUCAGAAAUUGUAAGGUGCAUGGUCAUCACCAGGUAAGCAGCUCUACAGGGGCCCAUGGCCCAUACUCAUCCUUGCGUGCCCAGGGGAGCCAGCGUGCAUAUGAGCAGUAGGGAAGUGGCAUAACAACGCAGAAGGGCUCAGGACAACUUGGCAUUUUUGUUGUUGUUAAACUCAGGCUUAUCAAGAGUCAUAAGGACUCAUCUCAGUUUGUAUAUACACCUUCAGACCCAUACAGAUAGAUGCAUAAGAAUAUGAUCAUUUCUGUUCUUCACAGAGUACUCAGAAUUCUGACAAGAAACAUCACAAGUUUAUAUAAAUGCCCAUUUGCAUAGCAGCUUACAAAUUCAAUAGUUGUCAGAGGCUUGACGCGGUGGGUCAUGCCUGUAAUCUCAGCACUUUGGGAGGCCGAGGCGGGCAGAUCACUUGAGGUCAGGAGUUUGAGAUCAGCUUGGCCAACAUGGCAAAACUCCGUCUCUACUAAAAAUACAAAAAUUACCUGGGUGUGGUGACGGGCGCCUGUAAUCCCAGCUACUCAGGAGGCUGAGGCAGGAGAAUCACUUGAAUUCGGGAGGCAGAGUUUGCAGUGAGCUGAGAUCAUGCCACUGUACUCCAGCCUGGGUGACAAUGAAACUCUGUCUCAAAAAAAAAGUUAUCAGAGAAUAGUAGAUACUGUUUUAGCCAUCAGUUUUCGCUGAGAGUACUUCUGACACCCAUAGGAAAUUGUAAAGGUUUUCUCCUCAAGUUGUAAAUUCCUUUUAUCCAUUUAUGACAUUUUCUCUAUCAUAUACUAAAUUCUAUCCAUCCUCACAUUGAUUUAUUACUGUCACCAAAAUACAUUCGAACUGUUUGUAUACACACAUAUAUAGGUGUAUAUGUAUGUGUGUGUGUAUAUAUAUAUUUAUUUGGUUGAAUCUUAUGAAACUGCUAAUUUUUUACCAUUUUUGACCUAUGAAAAUAGUUUUUUUCAUAGGGUUGAACCUAACAAAAUCUGAACUUUAGCUAGCUGGCUAUAUCUCAUAUACUAUGCAGUACUUUCUGCUUUACUUCAGCAGGAAGAAUGAAAAUGCUUACCCCAUUCACCAGUUCUUAUGCAGCCUUGCAAAACUGUGCUUGCAAACUGCUGGUGAAUUUCAUGAAAAUACUUAGAGGUAUAGUAAUUUUCAUAUAUUUAGCAUUUAACUGAAAAAAAGGUCCAAACUGAGCAUAUUAUCUUUGUAACUACAUCACCCACUACUUAACUGGAACAGCCUACCUUAUAAAGAUGGCUUUUGCAGACUUAAGGCCAGGUCUAGAAUCAAUAGGCCAAACAAUAAAAUAUCAAAACAUUUUCAACUGGGAUUCUGCUACCUCUGUGUCCUCCAUAACACUCAAUAUUUAGAGUGCCCGAGACACUGCGCUAAGCACCAGUAAAAGAGAAACGCCCCAAAAACUUCAAGAAACUUACCAUCUUUCAAGAAAUAUAAAAAUAUAAAUAAUAAGAGAAUAUUCUAAGAGUUUUAAGUUUCAAACUGGGACAGAGUAAAAUGUAAAAAGACAGCACUUCAGAAGUUUUAAACUGACUUCAAACGUUAAGGAAAAAGGCAAAUACAAAUGUGCUUUGAGUCUAAAUCCAGGUCAAUAUGAUAAUCAAAUGUGCUCUCCUCCACAGUUCUGGCCCCAAGAAGUCCUCUUAUCACCCCAUAACAGUGACUAGAGAUCCUCCAGGUCAGUUAAGUCCACGGCCACUUUCAAGAACAGAGUGUCAUCUUUAAUGUAGGCGUUCUUGGCAUUCUCCAAAACAGAAUGAGCCACAAAGCGGGGACAGCCAGAUGCAAUGUUCAUCUCCCCAUCAGGUCUUUUAAAGCUGCUGCUAUUGGGGUCAGGUUUGAAGGUCUCCAUAAUGUUCUUUUUGCCACUCUGGUCCAGAAGCAUCAGGGUCACCCUCUGCCUGAAUGGCCACUGCAACAGUGAGUCAAACUCUCCUCGCAUGACCACAAAGUAUAGGGACAGGUGUGACCCCCUCCCUGACCCAUCCCCAUUCAGGUAUGCUCUAGCACAGAGCCGGUAGCCACAGCGGCUGGUGUAGAAGGACUGGCUGAAGAUGGACACUGUGUGCCCAUCCACCGCCUCUCUCUUCUUCAUCUUGUAAUCUGUCACCUUCCAAAUGAGCUUUCCAUUAUAGCAAGUACCCUCCAGCAGUUUAAAUCGCUCUUCAUUUUUACUCAGCUGUGCUUUAUGAAUAUUAAUGUGGGUAUCAUGUUUGUUAGUUUCCUCUUCUAAAACGGCUGCAAAUAAG
Molecule: long non-coding RNA, 10532 nt
Filed under: Homo sapiens (human)
Lineage: Eukaryota; Metazoa; Chordata; Mammalia; Primates; Hominidae
Description: non-protein coding lnc-RD3-1:2
Source: RNAcentral